Molecule: long non-coding RNA, 346 nt
Filed under: Salmo salar (Atlantic salmon)
Lineage: Eukaryota; Metazoa; Chordata; Actinopteri; Salmoniformes; Salmonidae
Description: lncRNA (ENSSSAG00000100156.1)
Source: RNAcentral
CUCCAGACUGUCAGGUAGAUGAUUAUAACAGUAGUGUUGGUCUCCAGACUGUCAGGAUGAUGAUUAUAACAGUAGUGCUGGUCUCCAGGCUGUCAGGUAGAUGAUUAUAACAGUAGUGUUGGUCUCCAGGCUGUCAGGUAGAUGAUUAUAACAGUAGUGUUGGUCUCCAGACUGUCAGGUAGAUGAUUAUAACAGUAGUGUUGGUCUCCAGACUGUCAGGUAGAUGAUUAUAACAGUAGUGUUGGUCCUUGUCUCCAGGCUGUCAGGUAGAUGAUUAUAACAGUAGUGUUGGUCUCCAGACUGUCAGGUAGAUGAUUAUAACAGUAGUGUUGGUCCUGGUCUCCAG